UUCGGAGUCCUCGGUCCUCGGAUCGUGUUCUCUCAGAUCCAUCAUGCCAACCGUCCAGUGGGUCCUCUAAUGCCUGAGCGCGGAGGGCUUCUGGGGUUUCGAGCGGCAUUCGACCGCGUGGAGAGCGCUGGUCGCCAAGUCCGUGCGGCCCAGCCGUCGGUGCUACAACUCAUGACCUCAUUGGGGUAGGACAACCCGCUAGACUUAAGCAUAUUAAUCAGCGGAGGAAAAGAAACUAACCAGGAUUCCCUCAGUAACUGCGAGUGAAGUGGGAUCAGCUCAAUGUGUGAAUCGGGCUUGGGGUACCUCCCGGAUCCGAGUUGUGCACUAUGGACGCUUUGUCUGCGUCUGUAACGGCGGUGGAAGUCCGGUGAAACACGGCACCUCAGAGGGUCACAGUCCUGUACCACCUGCCUGCACUCGCGCCAAUGACAAGCGCUCCUCGAGUCGCGUAGUUUUGUAAUGCUGCGCCAAGUGGGAGGUAGAGACCUUCUAAGGCUAAAUAUGAUGACGUGACCGAUAGCACACAAGUACCGCGAGGGAAAGGUGAAAAGCAACCAUGAAAAAUGGGUUGAAACAGCAGUGAAAGCGCCACCGGGAUAAGGGCUAUCGGGUGCUGGGGCUCGUUGGGUGUGCUUCAGUGCUACCCUUUGAGACGGCCCGCGCAGGUUGAUGUUGGGGCGAUAGAUGCGCCGCAGGAAUUCAGC
This 707-nucleotide ribosomal RNA is filed under the name uncultured Tulasnellaceae. Its description in RNAcentral is "eukaryotic LSU rRNA". The stretch from base 173 to 707 matches the Rfam family "Eukaryotic large subunit ribosomal RNA", at positions 1 to 538 of the family's 3401-position model. The record is from RNAcentral. Lineage: Eukaryota; Fungi; Basidiomycota; Agaricomycetes; Cantharellales; Tulasnellaceae.